RNAcentral lists this ribosomal RNA (253 nucleotides) under uncultured bacterium. RNAcentral's name for it is "partial 16S ribosomal RNA". It matches the Rfam family "Bacterial small subunit ribosomal RNA", at positions 524 to 776 of the family's 1533-position model. The record is from RNAcentral.
UACGGAGGGAGCUAGCGUUGUUCGGAAUUACUGGGCGUAAAGCGCACGUAGGCGGAUAUUUAAGUCAGGGGUGAAGUCCCGGGGCUCAACCCCGGAACUGCCUUUGAUACUGGGUAUCUAGAGUCCGGAAGAGGUGAGUGGAACUCCUAGUGUAGAGGUGGAAUUCGUAGAUAUUAGGAAGAACACCAGUGGCGAAGGCGGCUCACUGGUCCGGUACUGACGCUGAGGUGCGAAAGCGUGGGGAGCAAACAGG